UCCUACGGGGGGCUGCAGUAAGGAAUAUUGGGCAAUGGAGGCAACUCUGACCCAGCCAUGCCGCGUGCAGGAAGACGGCCCUACGGGUUGUAAACUGCUUUUAAUAGGGAGUAAGGUUAGUUACGUGUAACUAAUUGCAAGUACCUAUAGAAUAAGGAUCGGCUAACUCCGUGCCAGCAGCCGCGGUAAUACGGAGGAUCCAAGCGUUAUCCGGAUUUAUUGGGUUUAAAGGGUGCGCAGGCGGACUAAUAAGUCAGUGGUGAAAUCUACAUGCUUAACAUGUAUCGUGCCAUUGAUACUGUUGGACUAGUAUGCAAAUGACGUAGCUGGAAUGUGUUAUGUAGCGGUGAAAUGCUUAGAUAUAACACAGAACACCAAUCGUGAAGACAGGUUACGAAUUUGUAAUAGACGCUCAGGCACGAAAGCGUGGGGAUCAAACAGGAUUAGAUACCCGAGUAGUCA
Molecule: ribosomal RNA, 462 nt
Filed under: uncultured Bacteroidales bacterium
Lineage: Bacteria; Pseudomonadati; Bacteroidota; Bacteroidia; Bacteroidales
Description: bacterial SSU rRNA
Rfam family: Bacterial small subunit ribosomal RNA
Source: RNAcentral